UGGGGAAUAUUGCACAAUGGAGGAAACUCUGAUGCAGCGAUGCCGCGUGAGGGAAGAAGGUUUUAGGAUUGUAAACCUCCGUCUUCAGGGACGAAAAAAGGACGGUACCUGAGGAGGAAGCUCCGGCUAACUACGUGCCAGCAGCCGCGGUAAUACGUAGGGAGCGAGCGUUGUCCGGAAUUACUGGGUGUAAAGGGAGCGUAGGCGGGAUCGCAAGUCAGAUGUGAAAACUAUGGGCUUAACCCAUAAACUGCAUUUGAAACUGUGGUUCUUGAGUGAAGUAGAGGUAAGCGGAAUUCCUAGUGUAGCGGUGAAAUGCGUAGAUAUUAGGAGGAACAUCAGUGGCGAAGGCGGCUUACUGGGCUUUAACUGACGCUGAGGCUCGAAAGCGUGGGGAGCAAACAGGAUUAGAUACCCUGGUAGUCCACGCCGUAAACGAUGAUUACUAGGUGUGGGGGGACUGACCCCUUCCGUGCCGCAGCAAACGCAAUAAGUAAUCCACCUGGGGAGUACGACCGCAAGGUUGAAACUCAAAGGAAUUGACGGGGGCCCGCACAAGCAGUGGAGUAUGUGGAUUAAUUCGAAGCAACGCGAAGAACCUUACCAGGUCUUGACAUCGUAUGCAUAGCUCAGAGAUGAGUGAAAUCUCUUCGGAGACAUAUAGACAGGUGGUGCAUGGUUGUCGUCAGCUCGUGUCGUGAGAUGUUGGGUUAAGUCCCGCAACGAGCGCAACCCUUACUGUUAGUUGCUACGCAAGAGCACUCUAGCAGGACUGCCGUUGACAAAACGGAGGAAGGUGGGGAUGACGUCAAAUCAUCAUGCCCCUUAUGACCUGGGCCUCACACGUACUACAAUGGCUGUAAACAGAGGGAAGCAAAGCCGCGAGGUAGAGCGAACCCCUAAAAGCAGUCUUAGUUCGGAUUGUAGGCUGCAACCCGCCUACAUGAAGUCGGAAUUGCUAGUAAUCGCAGAUCAGCAUGCUGCGGUGAAUACGUUCCC
Molecule: ribosomal RNA, 999 nt
Filed under: uncultured organism
Description: bacterial SSU rRNA
Rfam family: Bacterial small subunit ribosomal RNA
Source: RNAcentral